GGGGGAGGCGGGGAUUUGGCUUUUGGCGGUUGGAGUGUGAGGAAGGAGUGAGAUGGGGGUGGACCAUGAAGGGCUACCUGGUUCCGUCGGUGCUUCGGCCGGGAAGGGGAAAGGGCGCUAGAGUGUGGCUCCUCAGUCUGAAAUAUCCUUCCUAACAUCAUAUAAAAAACUCAUUUUACAAGAAUAAGAAACUGAGGGAAACGGCAUUAAGUGGCUUGUCCAGCAUCACACAGCUAGAAGACUCUGAAGAUCACCUGGCAGAAUAACAUACAGACAUCGAUGUGCUUUCUCAAAUUAAACUGACAAGCAUUCCAACUCUACUGCAGAUAGCAUGACUCUGCUGGGCUGGUCACAUUGUUUGAAUGCCAAAUAUAUGCUUGCCAAAAAAAUUAUUUUAUGGAGAACUCACACAGGGCAAGCACAAAGUGGUUAGAAAAAAAGUGAUACAAGCACACUCUCAAGGUACCUCUUAAGAACUUUAGAAUGGAUUGUUUGACAUGGGAGACACUGGCACAGGAUUGUCCAGCAUGGCAUGUCCUUGUCAAAAGGUGCUGUGCUCUUUGAGCAAAGCAUAAUUGAAUUAGCCCAAAGGAAAUGUGAAAUAUAAAAAAUUAGAGAGGCCACCCCAAAAUGUUCAUAUGGACUAUUUAUGUCCGACCUGUUGCAGAGCAUUCUGAGUUUGUAUUGGUCUGACCAGCCAGCAAACCACUCGAUUCUAAUAGUAAUGUCAUUUUGGACGUCUUUGAAAACGGAACAACAAUAGGCAUUAAGACAACUUGUGAAUUCACUAGCAUAGGGAAGUGCUGGUGAAGAAACUCCCUCAGCUGCCUAAAAUCAUUAGUAUUUAUAGCUUACAAAGUGCUAUUAGGAUCAUUAUUUUACUUGAGCUGCAUAACAACCCUUCAAAACCGAAGCAUAAUGUUAUCCCCAUUUCAUAGAUUAAACAUAUUGAGAUGAA
This is a long non-coding RNA of Sarcophilus harrisii (Tasmanian devil), 958 nucleotides long. RefSeq lists it as uncharacterized. Lineage: Eukaryota; Metazoa; Chordata; Mammalia; Dasyuromorphia; Dasyuridae. The transcript has 3 exons. The record is from RefSeq and is a predicted model, not a curated record.